Molecule: ribosomal RNA, 305 nt
Filed under: uncultured bacterium
Lineage: Bacteria
Description: bacterial SSU rRNA
Rfam family: Bacterial small subunit ribosomal RNA
Source: RNAcentral
GUCCUACGGGAGGCAGCAGUGAGGAAUAUUGGUCAAUGGUCGGGAGACUGAACCAGCCAAGCCGCGUGAGGGAUGAAGGUACAGAGUAUCGUAAACCUCUUUUGUCAGGGAACAAAGGCGGGGACGUGUCCCCGGAUGAGUGUACCUGAAGAAAAAGCAUCGGCUAACUCCGUGCCAGCAGCCGCGGUAAUACGGAGGAUGCGAGCGUUAUCCGGAUUUACUGGGUGUAAAGGGCGUGUAGGCGGGACUGCAAGUCAGAUGUGAAAAACAUGGGCUCCACCCAUGGCCUGCAUUUGAAACUGUAG